AUUGAACGCUGGCGGCAGGCCUAACACAUGCAAGUCGAGCGGAUGAAGGGAGCUCUCUCCUGGAUUCAGCGGCGGACGGGUGAGUAAUUCCUAGGAAUCUGCCUUGUAUUGGGGGAUAACGUCCGUAAACGGGCGCUAAUACCGCAUACGUCCUGAGGGAGAACGUGGGGGAUCUUCAGACCUCACGCUAUCAGAUGACCCUAGGUCGGAUUAGCUAGUUGGAGGGGUAAAGGCCUACCAAGGCGACGAUCCGUAACUGGUCUGAGAGGAUGAUCAGUCACACUGGAACUGAGACACGGUCCAGACUCCUACGGGAGGCAGCAGUGGGGAAUAUUGGACAAUGGGCGAAAGCCUGAUCCAGCAAUGCCGCGUGUGUGAAGAAGGUCUUCGGAUUGUAAAGCACUUUAAGUUGGGAAGAAGGGAAGUAAGUUAAUACCUGGCUGUUUUGACGUUACCAAAAGAAUAAGCACCGGCUAACUUCGUG
RNAcentral lists this ribosomal RNA (484 nucleotides) under uncultured bacterium. RNAcentral describes it as "partial 16S ribosomal RNA". It matches the Rfam family "Bacterial small subunit ribosomal RNA", at positions 30 to 507 of the family's 1533-position model. The record is from RNAcentral.